CAAAUACUCCCUCCGUCCGGAAAUACUUGUCAUCAAAAUGGAUAAAAGGAAAUGUAUCUAGACGUAUUUUAGUUUAGAUACAUCUCUUUUUAUCCAUUUUGAUGACAAGUAUUUUUGGACGGAGGGAGUAGAAA
Non-coding RNA from Triticum aestivum (bread wheat), 134 nucleotides. The record is from Rfam. Lineage: Eukaryota; Viridiplantae; Streptophyta; Magnoliopsida; Poales; Poaceae.